RNAcentral lists this ribosomal RNA (484 nucleotides) under uncultured bacterium. RNAcentral's name for it is "partial 16S ribosomal RNA". It matches the Rfam family "Bacterial small subunit ribosomal RNA", at positions 30 to 507 of the family's 1533-position model. The record is from RNAcentral.
AUUGAACGCUGGCGGAAUGCUUUACACAUGCAAGUCGAGCGGCAGCACGGGGGCAACCCUGGUGGCGAGCGGCGAACGGGUGAGUAAUACAUCGGAACAUGCCCAGUCGUGGGGGAUAACACUUCGAAAGAAGUGCUAAUACCGCAUACGUCCUGAGGGGGAAAGCGGGGGAUCGCAAGACCUCGCGCGAUUGGAGUGGCCGAUGUCAGAUUAGCUAGUUGGUGGGGUAAAGGCCUACCAAGGCAACGAUCUGUAGCUGGUCUGAGAGGAUGAUCAGCCACACUGGGACUGAGACACGGCCCAGACUCCUGCGGGAGGCAGCAGUGGGGAAUUUUGGACAAUGGGGGCAACCCUGAUCCAGCCAUUCCGCGUGAGUGAAGAAGGCCUUCGGGUUGUAAAGCUCUUUCGGCAGGAACGAAACGGUGAGCUCUAACAUAGCUUGCUAAUGACGGUACCUGAAGAAGAAGCACCGGCUAACUACGUG